UAUAUAAUUGAAAAUUCCAAA
Molecule: non-coding RNA, 21 nt
Filed under: Caenorhabditis elegans
Lineage: Eukaryota; Metazoa; Nematoda; Chromadorea; Rhabditida; Rhabditidae
Source: RNAcentral